CUCCUUAAGGCACUUAGGUGCGGUAGUUUUCCGGACGUAUGGGACAAUUGUCUCUCAUAUGUCCAUUACUACUGCAGUAUAAACAUAAACCUUCAUUUCUCCUAUAUUGUUUUUCAGCCUCUGACAGUCUAGUGACCCCCAACUGCAUGGGUUCAAGUUCGGACUGUAUUGGAAGGUCAGGAACAAUAGGUUCGAAGAGACGGGGUGUUAAAGGUAUAGUCAUACAUCUGGUCUUAUUUCUAGUAUUGUAUUCUCUCUGGUUCUUAGUCUAUUAUCAAUUUGCAUAACAAAUGUGGUGAACUUGUUAAGUUUCUUGGGUGGAUCUUUG
Molecule: non-coding RNA, 328 nt
Organism: Pelobates cultripes (western spadefoot toad)
Lineage: Eukaryota; Metazoa; Chordata; Amphibia; Anura; Pelobatidae
Source: the annotation of a GenBank genome assembly